Molecule: ribosomal RNA, 517 nt
Filed under: Candida tropicalis
Lineage: Eukaryota; Fungi; Ascomycota; Pichiomycetes; Serinales; Debaryomycetaceae
Description: SSU rRNA
Rfam family: Eukaryotic small subunit ribosomal RNA
Source: RNAcentral
UUUUUUUUUGGGAAGGCGUGGGGGUCCCCAGGCUGGCCACCCAUCGGAUUACAUUGGAAAGGGGCAGUCUGGUGCCAGCAGCCGCGGUAAUUCCAGCUCCAAAAGCGUAUAUUAAAGUUGUUGCAGUUAAAAAGCUCGUAGUUGAACCUUGGGCUUGGUUGGCCGGUCCAUCUUUCUGAUGCGUACUGGACCCAACCGAGCCUUUCCUUCUGGCUAGCCUUUUGGCGAACCAGGACUUUUACUUUGAAAAAAUUAGAGUGUUCAAAGCAGGCCUUUGCUCGAAUAUAUUAGCAUGGAAUAAUAGAAUAGGACGUUAUGGUUCUAUUUUGUUGGUUUCUAGGACCAUCGUAAUGAUUAAUAGGGACGGUCGGGGGUAUCAGUAUUCAGUUGUCAGAGGUGAAAUUCUUGGAUUUACUGAAGACUAACUACUGCGAAAGCAUUUACCAAGGACGUUUUCAUUAAUCAAGAACGAAAGUUAGGGGAUCGAAGAUGAUCUAGAUACCGUUCGAAAACACCG